Molecule: ribosomal RNA, 301 nt
Filed under: uncultured bacterium
Lineage: Bacteria
Description: partial 16S ribosomal RNA
Rfam family: Bacterial small subunit ribosomal RNA
Source: RNAcentral
CAGCAGCCACGGUAAUACGUAGGUGGCAAGCGUUGUCCGGAAUUAUUGGGCGUAAAGGGCUCGCAGGCGGUUUCUUAAGUCUGAUGUGAAAGCCCCCGGCUCAACCGGGGAGGGUCAUUGGAAACUGGGAAACUUGAGUGCAGAAGAGGAGAGUGGAAUUCCACGUGUAGCGGUGAAAUGCGUAGAGAUGUGGAGGAACACCAGUGGCGAAGGCGACUCUCUGGUCAGUAACUGACGCUGAGGAGCGAAAGCGUGGGGAGCGAACAGGAUUAGAUACCCGUGUAGUCCCUGUCUCUUAUAC